Molecule: long non-coding RNA, 276 nt
Filed under: Mytilus galloprovincialis (Mediterranean mussel)
Lineage: Eukaryota; Metazoa; Mollusca; Bivalvia; Mytilida; Mytilidae
Source: RNAcentral
AAGGAAAACAUAAUUUUUGUAAAUGAUGUAAUUGAUGAUAAAGGAGAAAUUUCUCAUAAAAUAUUAGAUAAACUUAAAAAGAAACAAAAUUGGAUUGCCGAAAUAUGUUCCCUUCGGAAAGCUUUACCCAAAAGUUGGAUCCAAAAAUUAAAGAGCAAUAUAUCAAAACAUACUAAAAUCAACAUAACACAAGACAUUAAAAUGUUAAGUAAUGGAUUGUAUUACGAUCUAGACAAAAUUAAGUUUAAAGAAAUUUAUAAUAUUAUUAUCAGGUCA